This 1138-nucleotide ribosomal RNA is filed under the name human gut metagenome. Its description in RNAcentral is "bacterial SSU rRNA". It matches the Rfam family "Bacterial small subunit ribosomal RNA", at positions 92 to 1241 of the family's 1533-position model. The record is from RNAcentral.
AGAGUGGCGAACGGGUGAGUAAUGCGUGACCGACCUGCCCCAUGCUCCGGAAUAGCUCCUGGAAACGGGUGGUAAUGCCGGAUGUUCCACAUGAUCGCAUGUGAUUGUGGGAAAGAUUCUAUCGGCGUGGGAUGGGGUCGCGUCCUAUCAGCUUGUUGGUGAGGUAACGGCUCACCAAGGCUUCGACGGGUAGCCGGCCUGAGAGGGCGACCGGCCACAUUGGGACUGAGAUACGGCCCAGACUCCUACGGGAGGCAGCAGUGGGGAAUAUUGCACAAUGGGCGCAAGCCUGAUGCAGCGACGCCGCGUGAGGGAUGGAGGCCUUCGGGUUGUAAACCUCUUUUGUUUGGGAGCAAGCCUUCGGGUGAGUGUACCUUUCGAAUAAGCGCCGGCUAACUACGUGCCAGCAGCCGCGGUAAUACGUAGGGCGCAAGCGUUAUCCGGAUUUAUUGGGCGUAAAGGGCUCGUAGGCGGCUCGUCGCGUCCGGUGUGAAAGUCCAUCGCUUAACGGUGGAUCCGCGCCGGGUACGGGCGGGCUUGAGUGCGGUAGGGGAGACUGGAAUUCCCGGUGUAACGGUGGAAUGUGUAGAUAUCGGGAAGAACACCAAUGGCGAAGGCAGGUCUCUGGGCCGUCACUGACGCUGAGGAGCGAAAGCGUGGGGAGCGAACAGGAUUAGAUACCCUGGUAGUCCACGCCGUAAACGGUGGAUGCUGGAUGUGGGGACCAUUCCACGGUCUCCGUGUCGGAGCCAACGCGUUAAGCAUCCCGCCUGGGGAGUACGGCCGCAAGGCUAAAACUCAAAGAAAUUGACGGGGGCCCGCACAAGCGGCGGAGCAUGCGGAUUAAUUCGAUGCAACGCGAAGAACCUUACCUGGGCUUGACAUGUUCCCGACAGCCGUAGAGAUACGGUCUCCCUUCGGGGCGGGUUCACAGGUGGUGCAUGGUCGUCGUCAGCUCGUGUCGUGAGAUGUUGGGUUAAGUCCCGCAACGAGCGCAACCCUCGCCCUGUGUUGCCAGCACGUCGUGGUGGGAACUCACGGGGGACCGCCGGGGUCAACUCGGAGGAAGGUGGGGAUGACGUCAGAUCAUCAUGCCCCUUACGUCCAGGGCUUCACGCAUGCUACAAUGGCCGGUACA